GGAAGUAAAAGUCGCAACAAGGUUUCCGUAGGUGAACCUGCGGAAGGAUCAUUAUCAUGUAAUUCAGUCCCCUUGGCUGUGUUAUAUAUAUACCCACUCUGUGUACCUUCUCCUGUUGCUUCCGCUGGGUGUGUAAUUCGCCCGGCGGAAGGGUAAAAAUAACCUCUGAGUAUUGAUAAAAUCUCUGUCUGAACCGAAUAGAAAGAAAAAUGUUAAAACUUUCAGCAACGGAUCUCUUGGUUCUC
This 245-nucleotide unclassified non-coding RNA is filed under the name plant metagenome. RNAcentral describes it as "partial contains small subunit ribosomal RNA, internal transcribed spacer 1, and 5.8S ribosomal RNA". The stretch from base 1 to 54 matches the Rfam family "Eukaryotic small subunit ribosomal RNA", at positions 1778 to 1831 of the family's 1831-position model. The record is from RNAcentral.